UUGUUUUUUUUUGUGACGUGGCGUUUAAUUAAAUGUAAUAAAUAAAUGAUAAAAAGAAAAUUUCUGUAAGCGGGAAACCAGACGUGAGAAGCUAAAAAUGAAAAUUAGAGAGAGAAAAUGUGAUGCGAAAACUGAAGGGAAACGAAAAACAGAGAGAGAAAAUGUUAUGCAAAAUCUGAAGAGAGAGAAAAAAACCAGAGAUCUGAAUCUGUAUCUUCUUCAUUGGGGAUAUUCUUCUUCACGAGGCGUCUAGCAUUUAGUAAAAACCAGAGCUGCGUCUUCUUCGUCCAGCUGCGUUUUCUUCGUCAUUUCAAAAAGCUUUCUCCCGAGCUGCGAAGAGCGAGAGAGAGAGAGAGAGAGAGAGAGAGAGAGAGAGAGAGAGAGAGAGAGAGAGAGAGUAAAAACCAGUUUAGAGAGUUAAAAGCUUUUUAUCUUCUUCUUCGUGCAUCUAGCUUCUCCCGAGCUUUGUCUCCAAGGGUCCUUAUCUUCUGUUUCUGGUAGGUGUUAUCUUGCCCACUUGGAACUGAUUGUAAAUGGGUUUUAGUUUUGGAAAAUGUUGUUGGGUGCUGAUGAUUUUGUAGCAUUAAGAUUUCUGUGAACUCGAAAUGGCCAUGGUGUUGUUCGUGUAAGAUUUUUUCAACACGAUGUACUUUGCAAGUAACUGUAAACAUACUGAAAAUUUUCAAGUAUGUGCACUAAUAUUUUCCCCCAUUGUUGAACAAAAGAAAUUGUAUAAUACCAUCUAGAAUAUAAUCCCAAGAAAAAGGACACGCGAAUAAGCAACUUGGUAAUAUUUGGGUGCUGGGCAUAAGGAUUUGUAUUCAGAUUGGUCCACAUCCAUGCUUUGAACUGUCAACUUGCCCAAAUCUGAGAGUAUGCAACAAAUUUCACCUUUAUGAUACUUUUGGUUCUUAAUAUUUUAUUAGCCUCCUUUCAGGUUUGAUGCUAUUGUGUAAGCAGAUGCUUUCGAGAAUUUGAAGCCUGCUCAUGAUAUUUUCUUAAGUUGCAUCAAAGAUUCUGAAUGUGCUCAAGUGCUGCCCAGUGAAGUAUACUGAGAGAUUCUGCAGAUUAUUGUCUUUUGAGACAUGUUUUCUAAACAAUUAUUUUUAUUGGCUUCAAACAUAGGUUGUAUUGAAUAUUCUGAUUUAAUUUUUUCAUCUCAAUAAUUUGCCAAUUUUUCUUUUUUUCACCUUACUGCUGAAUGAGUGUUUGUCAGCAUAAUUGUCCAGUGACUGAAUUGAUCAUUGUAGCUUUUCUGUGACCAAUCACUCUUAUAUUAUUGAAAUAAUUUUAUGCCUAUAUUUUCCUAGUGUAUUGUCAUUGAAGAUGCAUUAGCUGGAGUUCAAGCUGCCAAAGCUGGUCAAAUGAAAUUUAUAGCCGUGACAACUACAUUGUCUGCAGAAACUUUAAAGGCUGCCAGUCCAUCACUUACCCGGAAUGAGAUAGGAAGUGUUUCACUGCAUGAUAUUCUUAGGGGUGGCUCAGAUGGCUAUAGUAUGUAGUCCUGAGAGUAUGAUGCAAAUGUCAAUUUGUACCAUUAUUAAUGUAGAAUGCUGAAGCUACAGUUGUUUCAUGUUUUAAGAACUAUAAGUAAGAUCAAUUUUCUUGUAA
Long non-coding RNA from Carya illinoinensis, 1611 nucleotides. RefSeq lists it as uncharacterized. The transcript is spliced from 2 exons. Lineage: Eukaryota; Viridiplantae; Streptophyta; Magnoliopsida; Fagales; Juglandaceae. The record is from RefSeq and is a predicted model, not a curated record.